This 173-nucleotide small nuclear RNA is filed under the name Myotis davidii. Its description in RNAcentral is "U2 spliceosomal RNA". It matches the Rfam family "U2 spliceosomal RNA". From Rfam's summary of the family: U2 is a small nuclear RNA (snRNA) component of the spliceosome (involved in pre-mRNA splicing). Complementary binding between U2 snRNA (in an area lying towards the 5' end but 3' to hairpin I) and the branchpoint sequence (BPS) of the intron results the bulging out of an unpaired adenosine, on the BPS, which initiates a nucleophilic attack at the intronic 5' splice site, thus starting the first of two transesterification reactions that mediate splicing. Lineage: Eukaryota; Metazoa; Chordata; Mammalia; Chiroptera; Vespertilionidae. The record is from Rfam by way of RNAcentral.
AUCGCUUCUCGGCCUUUUGGCUAAGAUCAAGUGUAGUAUCUAUUCUUAUCAGUUUAAAAUGUACAAUGUAAAGAUUCAAAAUACAUAUACAGUGUGAAAGGAUUCCCCUCCACAGGGUUAAUUAACACAUUCAUCACCUCACAUGUUUACCUUUUCUCUGUGUGAGAAAUAUU